CACCCGCAAUAGCAGGACAACCCGGGCGACGACGCUGCCCUGGGUCAGGAACUGGAUCUCCCACCUGAGGUACCCCUCGACGCGCGGGCCGGGGUUCUCGGGAGCCGGGAACCAGAACAGGCUCGUCGGGAAGAGGAGCAGGGUCACGACAAUACCCCAGACGCUGCGCCUGUAGGCGAAGAAGCAGAACGGCAGGAGGAAGAGUGGCCUGACGUACCAGCUCAACUCGUUGUGGUGCCUCGCCCAUACCCACGAGAGAAAGUCGUCGAGGAGUUCCAUAAAGUUUCCUUCCUUUCCAAGUAGUGUUUGGUCAACCUUUCCAAGCCUUGGUUCCUAGGAGGCUUAGACGUAGGCGACGAGCGCCCACAUAACGAUGGUGAGCAUGAGGUCGAUGUGCACUUGGCAGC
This 407-nucleotide unclassified non-coding RNA is filed under the name plant metagenome. RNAcentral describes it as "partial contains 5.8S ribosomal RNA, internal transcribed spacer 2, and large subunit ribosomal RNA". The record is from RNAcentral.